Molecule: long non-coding RNA, 1873 nt
Organism: Peromyscus leucopus (white-footed mouse)
Lineage: Eukaryota; Metazoa; Chordata; Mammalia; Rodentia; Cricetidae
Exons: 2
Source: RefSeq, a predicted model, not a curated record
GGGCCUUAGCACAUCCUCCUUCCUCCGCCUAUAUACUGUUCUUUCCAUCCUUUAAUUUAAGGGUCUCUACUUCCUUUACACCCCAUUCUUUUCCUUUAAAGUGCUUCUCAUUUUGUCAGCUCACUUUAUCUUUGUUUGUAUCCUGGUUCAUUUUACCGUCUACAGCCCAACAGCAGGGCAUCGGGGUACACCUUCAGUGUCGCUCCCACCAUGUCCUCAACACCUGACAUUCUGGGAACGAGCGAUAAUAUUUGUUGAAUGAAUAAAUAGAUGCUUUCAGAGAUAGAUACUGCUAUUAUCCUCACUUCGACACUGAGGCUCGGGUUAGUCAAGUGGGCCUAGAGCGAGGUCAUAGCUAUCUUGAAUUGCUACUAUUGAUUGAAACCAAAAAACCAUAUGACAAAUACAUGAUCCUGAAGAAAUAUCCAAAUCUCGAUUGUGCAGAAGGCCGGGGAUGUGGCUCAGUGGUGAAGCACAUGCCUAACAAGCACAAGGACCUGGUUUCAUCCCCGGCAUUUCGAGAAAAAGGAGGAAGCAGAGGAGGAGGAACGGAGAGUGAACACAUCCUGUGAACAUUUCAGCUCAUAUCAAGACAGGGUCUCCAGAUCUAUCUGACUGACACAGGCGCAUCUACUCCAGCCACACAGGAACAAGUGUCUAAAGAAGAAUAGUUAUGGAUGUACCUGGUCCCAGCAGGACAAGAAGCCUGGACUAUUUUCUGACAGAAGUGAAGUUUACACCGUGCUUAUGACUAGGAGAGAUGCUCACCAGGGGAGUCCGGUGUCUUAGGAAGUUGAGGAAUGAAGAGAUGCCUGCAUGAAUAUGGUACCACUCAGAAAAUCAGCAAAUUCAGCCCCGCAUGAUUCCUUCAUGGAGAAUAUUUGUUCACUAUCCAUGGGAUAUUUUCUUCAUUGCUGGAAGGAAAGCCAGGCAUGGUGUGGUCACAUCAAAUGACCUGGUGACAAUUAACCCACAUUUUCAGAGAGCAUUCUGGUCCUGUCUAGGCUGGCAUUUGCCUCAGAACUUUCCUCAUCAGCGGGAGUCACUCAGGUGGUCCUUCAAUCUACCUGAAGGCCUUAGACAAGUAAUGUAAACCCUGGGAGAAUGGGGCUCAUAACGAGAUAAGUAACAAAACGCCGCAAGCCUAUUAGAGGGGAAAAUUGGAAAGGUUGCCGCCAAUUAUUAAUAAGUCACAAGAACAUGACAUGUCUAGAGAGUGCCUGGAUGAUAGAGGAGACAUCUCCUGUGUGACGAUCAGAGGUGGCUACCUGCUGCCAGCCUUAGGGACAAUUCCAGCCAUGGUCCAUGUUUGAUAGUCCACAGAGACAGGGAAAAAAAAAAAAACAGUCAAAACUAGAAUGAAUGAAAACAGGAUUAAAAAAAUAUUUUAGAAAAACUUGCAUUUUUUUUUUUACCUUAUCUUUCUUGCAGACAAAUUAAAUUCUUUAUUUUAGCUUGAAUCCAUCAACCUAGGUCAGGAAGAAAAUAAUAAAAUGAUCAUCUCAUCUAAGGCACCAAAAGGCUCCUCGGGAAGUGAAGCCACCCAUUCCUAAUGGAGAGGCGAGGAUUUUGGGUGCGGUGGUGCAUGGCUGUCAACGUAAGCCUCCGAAGGCUAAGGCGGGACAGUGUGUCUGUCCAGCCUACCAGAGCUGAGUGAGUGACAAAAGGCUGGACCUAACAAGAAGCAGCAGGUCCCAGGGUGCGGCAUGUAAGGAGGCCUCAAGCUCAGGCUCCUGCUAGUACAGGCACUUGGGAAGGAAGGCCUCCUCAAAUUUGAUGCUAACCUCGCUUUACCUCAGCAUGCUAGUUCAGAUGCAGAUAAAAUAAAGACUCCUUUACUAAUCAAAAUUAAUUAAAGAAGUACUGGGCUUCC